AGCGAACGCUGGCGGCAGGCUUAACACAUGCAAGUCGAACGCCCGGGCAACCGGGAGUGGCAGACGGGUGGGUAACGCGUGGGAACAUACCCUUUGGUUCGGAAUAACUCAGGGAAACUUGAGCUAAUACCGGAUAAGCCCUUAUGGGGAAAGAUUUAUCGCCGAAGGAUUGGCCCGCGUCCGAUUAGCUAGUUGGUGAGGUAACGGCUCACCAAGGCGACGAUCGGUAGCUGGUCUGAGAGGAUGAUCAGCCACACUGGGACUGAGACACGGCCCAGACUCCUACGGGAGGCAGCAGUGGGGAAUAUUGGACAAUGGGGGCAACCCUGAUCCAGCCAUGCCGCGUGAGUGAUGAAGGCCCUAGGGUUGUAAAGCUCUUUCGGCGGGGACGGUAAUGACGGUACCCGCAGAAGAAGCCCCGGCUAACUUCGUGCCAGCCGCCGCAGUAA
Molecule: ribosomal RNA, 449 nt
Filed under: uncultured bacterium
Lineage: Bacteria
Description: partial 16S ribosomal RNA
Rfam family: Bacterial small subunit ribosomal RNA
Source: RNAcentral